Molecule: non-coding RNA, 74 nt
Organism: Hippocampus zosterae (dwarf seahorse)
Lineage: Eukaryota; Metazoa; Chordata; Actinopteri; Syngnathiformes; Syngnathidae
Source: the annotation of a RefSeq genome assembly
GCACCAGUGGCGCAAUCGGUUAGCGUGUGGUACUUAUAAUGCUGAGGUUGUGAGUUCAAGCCUCACCUGGUGCA